Molecule: transfer RNA, 90 nt
Filed under: bacterium
Lineage: Bacteria
Also listed under: 2 other names
Description: tRNA-Ser
Rfam family: tRNA
About the family: Transfer RNA (tRNA) molecules are approximately 80 nucleotides in length.
Source: RNAcentral
GGAAGGUUGCCUGAGCGGACGAAAGGGACGGUCUCGAACACCGUUGAUGCGGCAACGUAUCCAUGGGUUCAAAUCCCAUACCUUCCGCCA